Molecule: ribosomal RNA, 596 nt
Filed under: Vibrio splendidus
Lineage: Bacteria; Pseudomonadati; Pseudomonadota; Gammaproteobacteria; Vibrionales; Vibrionaceae
Description: bacterial SSU rRNA
Rfam family: Bacterial small subunit ribosomal RNA
Source: RNAcentral
AAAUUGAAGAGUUUGAUCAUGGCUCAGAUUGAACGCUGGCGGCAGGCCUAACACAUGCAAGUCGAGCGGAAACGACAUUAUUGAAUCUUCGGAGGAUUUAAUGGGCGUCGAGCGGCGGACGGGUGAGUAAUGCCUAGGAAAUUGCCUUGAUGUGGGGGAUAACCAUUGGAAACGAUGGCUAAUACCGCAUAAUGCCUACGGGCCAAAGAGGGGGAUCUUCGGACCUCUCGCGUCAAGAUAUGCCUAGGUGGGAUUAGCUAGUUGGUGAGGUAAUGGCUCACCAAGGCGACGAUCCCUAGCUGGUCUGAGAGGAUGAUCAGCCACACUGGAACUGAGACACGGUCCAGACUCCUACGGGAGGCAGCAGUGGGGAAUAUUGCACAAUGGGCGAAAGCCUGAUGCAGCCAUGCCGCGUGUAUGAAGAAGGCCUUCGGGUUGUAAAGUACUUUCAGUUGUGAGGAAGGGGGUAGUGUUAAUAGCGCUAUCUCUUGACGUUAGCAACAGAAGAAGCACCGGCUAACUCCGUGCCAGCAGCCGCGGUAAUACGGAGGGUGCGAGCGUUAAUCGGAAUUACUGGGCGUAAAGCGCAUGCAGGU